GACGAACGCUGGCGGCGUGCUUAACACAUGCAAGUCGAACGGAAAGGCCCUGCUUUUGUGGGGUGCUCGAGUGGCGAACGGGUGAGUAACACGUGAGUAACCUUCCCUUGACUUUGGGAUAACUUCAGGAAACUGGGGCUAAUACCGGAUAGGAGCUCCUGCUGCAUGGUGGGGGUUGGAAAGUUUCGGCGGUUGGGGAUGGACUCGCGGCUUAUCAGCUUGUUGGUGGGGUAGUGGCUUACCAAGGCGUUGACGGGUAGCCGGCCUGAGAGGGUGACCGGCCACAUUGGGACUGAGAUACGGCACAGACUCCUACGGGAGGCAGCAGUGGGGAAUAUUGCACAAUGGGCGGAAGCAUGAUGCAGCAACGCCGCGUGCGGGAUGACGGCCUUCGGGUUGUAAACCGCUUUCGCCUGUGACGAAGCGUGAGUGACGGUAAUGGGUAAAGAAGCACCGGCUAACUACGUG
Molecule: ribosomal RNA, 468 nt
Filed under: uncultured bacterium
Lineage: Bacteria
Description: partial 16S ribosomal RNA
Rfam family: Bacterial small subunit ribosomal RNA
Source: RNAcentral